GCCAGGCAUCGUGGCAUGGGCCUAUAGUCUUAGCUACUCAGGUGGCUGAGACGGGAGGAUCAUUCAAGACCAGGAGUUCUGGGCUGUAGUGUGGUGCGCUGUGCUGAUAGUGUGUUCUCACUAAGUUCGGCAUCAAUAUGGUGACCUCCAGGGAGAAGGGAACCACCAGGUUGACUAAGGAGAGGGUGAGCUGGCUCAGGUCAGAAACAGAACAGGUCAAAACUCCCAUGCUAUGUGUAGUGGGAUUGUGCCUGUGAUAGCCACUGCACUCCAGCCUGGAAAACAUAGCAAGACACCCUCUCU
RNAcentral lists this signal recognition particle RNA (303 nucleotides) under Microcebus murinus (gray mouse lemur). Its description in RNAcentral is "Metazoan signal recognition particle RNA (ENSMICG00000026614.2)". It matches the Rfam family "Metazoan signal recognition particle RNA". Rfam says of the family: The signal recognition particle (SRP) is a universally conserved ribonucleoprotein. It is involved in the co-translational targeting of proteins to membranes. The eukaryotic SRP consists of a 300-nucleotide 7S RNA and six proteins: SRPs 72, 68, 54, 19, 14, and 9. Lineage: Eukaryota; Metazoa; Chordata; Mammalia; Primates; Cheirogaleidae. The record is from RNAcentral.